Tirmania nivea is the source of this 94-nucleotide non-coding RNA. Lineage: Eukaryota; Fungi; Ascomycota; Pezizomycetes; Pezizales; Pezizaceae. The record is from the annotation of a GenBank genome assembly.
GGCACAGUAGUCUAUUGGUAUGAUUCCUGCUUUGUAAAGUCCUGCUAGCAUAUGCAGAGAGCAGGUGGUCUGGGUUCAAGUCCCAAACAUCCUC